This 164-nucleotide ribosomal RNA is filed under the name Ourisia integrifolia. RNAcentral's name for it is "5.8S ribosomal RNA". It matches the Rfam family "5.8S ribosomal RNA". Rfam says of the family: 5.8S ribosomal RNA (5.8S rRNA) is a component of the large subunit of the eukaryotic ribosome. It is transcribed by RNA polymerase I as part of the 45S precursor that also contains 18S and 28S rRNA. The record is from RNAcentral. Lineage: Eukaryota; Viridiplantae; Streptophyta; Magnoliopsida; Lamiales; Plantaginaceae.
UCAGAACGACUCUCGGCAACGGAUAUCUCGGCUCUCGCAUCGAUGAAGAACGUAGCAAAACGCGAUAUUUGGUGUGAAUUGCAGAAUCCCGUGAACCAUCGAGUUUUUGAACGCAAGWUGCGCSCGAAGCCAUUARGCCGAGGGCACGUCUGCAUGGGCGUCAC